This 92-nucleotide small RNA is filed under the name Salmonella enterica subsp. enterica serovar Agama. Its description in RNAcentral is "partial RtT sRNA". It matches the Rfam family "RtT RNA", at positions 41 to 130 of the family's 130-position model. From Rfam's summary of the family: This family represents a bacterial cis-regulatory element known as RtT RNA. Lineage: Bacteria; Pseudomonadati; Pseudomonadota; Gammaproteobacteria; Enterobacterales; Enterobacteriaceae. The record is from RNAcentral. RNAcentral also lists the same sequence under 1 other name.
GUUCGAUUCGAGCGAAAGCGAGAAAGCGUUGCCGCAGGCAACGACCCGAAGGGCGAAGCGCGCAGCGCUGAGUCAUCCUUCCCCCCUCAUCC